UGAACGCUGGCGGUAUGCCUAACACAUGCAAGUCGUACGAGAGUAUUUUUACUCAAGUGGCGGACGGGUGAGUAACACGUGAGAAUUUGCCUUUAGGAGGGGGAUAACAAUUAGAAAUGAUUGCUAAUACCCCAUAUGCUUGAGAGUGAAAUAGAUUUAUCUGCCUAAAGAAAAGCUCGCGGCUGAUUAGCUAGUUGGUAAGGUAAUAGCUUACCAAGGCGACGAUCAGUAUCUGGUUUGAGAGGACGAUCAGACACACUGGAACUGAGACACGGUCCAGACUCCUACGGGAGGCAGCAGUGGGGAAUUUUCCGCAAUGGGCGAAAGCCUGACGGAGCAAUACCGCGUGAGGGAAGAAGGCCUAUGGGUUGUAAACCUCUUUUUUCAGGGAGGAAUUCAUGACGUGUACCUGAAGAAUAAGCAUCGGCUAACUCC
RNAcentral lists this ribosomal RNA (435 nucleotides) under uncultured bacterium. RNAcentral describes it as "bacterial SSU rRNA". It matches the Rfam family "Bacterial small subunit ribosomal RNA", at positions 30 to 504 of the family's 1533-position model. The record is from RNAcentral.